CAUUGUCACGGGCUUUAAAAUAUUUGCUAGAGCUAUUUAAACAUAAUACAUGUUAAAUUUUACAUGUAAACAUAAGUUAAGUCCACUUCACUUGCAAGGUAGAUUGAUUAGUAAAAAUUUGUUACACAUUAAGAUCUAUUUGACGCUUUUAAGAAAUUCUCGCACAUUUGCAGGAUAUUGUCUUUAGCUUCACUCGCAUGAUAUUUGAGCAACUAUACUAAAAACGUCUUCCUCAGCUCAUACCCAUCCUACACAAGCAUGAAAUCACCAUUAGCAUGAAUAUCUUACAUUAAUAAAGGUGAUAAAUGUGUAACCGAGAAUACUGACCGUGCAAACCGGGCAAACCAAUUCUUUAACGUCCCAACGGAGCAUAAAGAAAAAAAACUAAAUAGCCAGACACAUUCCUGCAAUUUCAUAAAUUCAUAUUAUCUUGAUUAUAGUGAUAACAAAAUAAAUGCUUGUAUUUUGCAUGGAUUUUUUUGAGGGGUGUAUUUUGCAUGGAUAAUAUAUGGUUUUUUCGUACAACAAAUUUUGGGAUCCAAGGCCCAAAUCAGCAUAGCCCACUCUCUCCUUCCCCUCACUAUCCUAUCCCGCACGGCCCAACCAACCCCCACUAUAUCUUUCUCAAAAAAAAAAAACAGCCCCCACCUUCUCCUUCCCCUCACUCUAUUGUUCCCCUCACUCUCUCCACUCCCUCUCCACUCCCGCAAAUCCCUAAUCUCGGCCGAGUCACCCACUCCACUCCCUCCGCUGUCGCCCCCACAGCCGCCAGAACCAGCGAACUCGUCUCCCACCGCCUCCCCCUCUCGUCCGAGCCCUCUACUCAUCCGACGGCGCUGACCGCGCAGAUCGAGCGACCAGGCCGCGGCCACAUGCGCACACAACCGGCGACCAACAUCACGCAAAGGUCACCACCGCCGUCGCUGAAGGGUGGUCUUCUUCCACCUCGACGGACGAGCUUGCGUGCCAGGAGAGGAGCGGGGAUCCUGCGCUUCUUCCUCGCUCAGCGCCCCUGUCGCCACGCCAUGGAUGAACCUCCCUCUGCUCCCACCAAUGCCAUGUACCGAGCUCGCUCUCCUCCUCGAGAUAUUAUCCUCCAAGCUAUAUGAUAUGCACAACACAUGAUUUAUGGAACGAAAAGAGAUCAUGUCAUCCAGAUAAUUAGAUUUCGCCGCAUGAUGUUCUUUACCCCAGCCGAGCAUAGUGUGCUGCCGCGCCGUCGAUUCCACGAAGUGGGCAGCCCGAGCCGAUUCCCCAAUGUGUCAACGACUACGUCCGCUGCGUGAUCCCGUGGGACAUGACCAAUCCACUGCCUCAUCAACACAUCGAGGGUGAAUUGAGUUCAGAUCUUUGAGCAAAGGAUUGCGAUUUUGUAGCUGCAUUGGGGCUAUUCUUUAUCAUUUGCCAUAGGAUGAGCAUCGUUGUGGUCUGGAAUCUUGGGUUUGAGCUUCCUCAGAACUUGUCCUUCAUCAUCUUCCUCAGCAGCAACAUCAGGCAUUGGGGCCUUGUUCUUCAGAAGUUGAGCCUGGUAUUGGUGAUCCUCAGAAAGUUUCGACGAAGGGUGCACCUAAGAAGGGGCGGUCGAAGGGUGGCCCGACGUUACAAAGAAUGGUAGGCCAAAAGAUUUUACAGAGAAGAAAACUGGUCCUUUGUGCAGUCUGUGUAGUCUCCCAAGUCAUAACAAGGCUACAUGUAGUGUGAAUGAGAAGAAUCGGGCGUAGAGAAGCAGCUUGGUUGGUUAGAAGAAUAAAAGUGGUCGCACGAGUCAUGUCUGAAUAACCUAUGCUAUUUUUAUUCGCACAUGUGUGCUAGAAAACUUUAUUUGUACUGUUACGUGAUGAUUUGUACUGUUUCUAUAUGCAGUUUCGAAAUUCUGUUUAUUUGUACUGAUUUUAUUCGCACAUGUGUGCCAAAAAACUUCA
Long non-coding RNA from Triticum aestivum (bread wheat), 1922 nucleotides. RefSeq lists it as uncharacterized. The record is from RefSeq and is a predicted model, not a curated record. Lineage: Eukaryota; Viridiplantae; Streptophyta; Magnoliopsida; Poales; Poaceae. The transcript is spliced from 6 exons.